Non-coding RNA from Paramuricea clavata, 94 nucleotides. NCBI's taxonomy places the organism in Eukaryota, Metazoa, Cnidaria, Anthozoa, Malacalcyonacea, Plexauridae. The record is from the annotation of a GenBank genome assembly.
CCUCAGCAAGUACCGUAAACAGAAGUAUUUACCCCCUGGAAAUACCCAAAAAAGGCGAUGUCAUCAGGGGGUGACUGCUUCUGUUUACGGUACU